GACGAACGCUGGCGGCGUGCUUAACACAUGCAAGUCGAACGGAAAGGCCUCUUUCUUGUGGUGUUCUCGUGUCGCAAGCGUGAGUAACACAUGAGUGUCAUCCCCUUUACUUUUGGGUAUCUUUUCAGGACUGUGGCUAUUACCGCGUAUAGGCUCCUCCGGCGUGUGGUGGGUUUGGGAAUUUCUCCGCGGGUGGGGAUGGACUCGCGGAUUAUCAGUUUUUUGGUGGGGGUGUGGCUUACCAAGGUUUUGACGGGUAGGCGGUCUGAGGGGGUGAACGGGCACAUUGGGACUGGGAUACGGCCCAGACUUCUACGGGAGGCAGGAGGUGGGAAUAUUGGACAAUGGGGGGGAGCCUGAUGCAGCAAAGCCGUGGGCCGGAUUACGGGCUUCGGGGUGUAAACCGGUUUUGCUCAGGAAGAAGCUUUGUGUGACGGUAGUGGGUAAAGAAGCACCGGCUAACUACGUG
This 469-nucleotide ribosomal RNA is filed under the name uncultured bacterium. Its description in RNAcentral is "partial 16S ribosomal RNA". It matches the Rfam family "Bacterial small subunit ribosomal RNA", at positions 28 to 507 of the family's 1533-position model. The record is from RNAcentral.